This 483-nucleotide ribosomal RNA is filed under the name uncultured bacterium. RNAcentral describes it as "partial 16S ribosomal RNA". It matches the Rfam family "Bacterial small subunit ribosomal RNA", at positions 29 to 507 of the family's 1533-position model. The record is from RNAcentral.
UUGAACGCUGGCGGCAUGCUUUACACAUGCAAGUCGAACGGCAGCGCGGGCUUCGGCCUGGCGGCGAGUGGCGAACGGGUGAGUAAUGCACUGGAACGUGCCCAGUUGUGGGGGAUAGCCCGGCGAAAGCCGGAUCAAUACCGCAUACGACCCGAGGGUGAAAGCGGGGGACCGAAAGGCCUCGCCCCUUUGGAGUGGCCGAUGUCGGAUUAGCUAGUUGGUGGGGUAAAGGCUUACCAAGGCGACGAUCCGUAGCUGGUCUGAGAGGACGACCAGCCACACUGGGACUGAGACACGGCCCAGACUCCUACGGGAGGCAGCAGUGGGGAAUUUUGGACAAUGGGGGCAACCCUGAUCCAGCCAUGCCGCGUGCGUGAAGAAGGCCUUCGGGUUGUAAACCGCUUUUGUUCGGGAAGAAAUCCUCUGAGCUAAUACCCCGGGGGGAUGACGGUACCGGAAGAAUAAGCACCGGCUAACUACGUG